UGUGUGUGUGUGUGUGUGUGUGUGUGUGUGUGUUUUGUCCACAGUUUCUCGUUCAUAACUCUCAUAGCCCUCGUUACAGCCUUUUGUUAUAAUGUUGGGGCGCAUUAGGUCUCAGGAGCAGGCCUUAGAAAAACAUAAUCUCUCUUUCUCCUUUUCUCCUUUUACCUGCUCAAGGCAGGACUCUAAUUUGAUUGUUGGUUCAAAGACUCUCAUUCCAGAGGGGAUCCUGCCCCAGACCCUAGAGGAAAGAAGGCUACAUAGAGAGGUCAAGAAAAGUCUGAACACACAAGCCUUGCUGGGUUUAGAUCACGUGCUUUUUGUUCAAUCACAUUUCCACAUGUUUGUCAAUCAUUCCUAUGUAAUGAAGCCUCCACAAAAAUCCAAGAGGACCAGGUUGAAAGCUUCUGAGGAAUUGAACAGGGGAGGUUUCUAGAGGGUGGAGUGCCUAGAGAGGGUAUGGAAGCUCCGUGUCCUUUCCUCUAUAACUCACCUGAGUUGUCUCUUUAUCUCUAUCCUCUGUAUCUCUAUCCUUUUAAAUAAACCAGUAAACCUAAGUAAAUGUUUCUCUGAGUUCUUUGAGUCUCUGCAGCAAAUUAAUUGAGCCCAAAGAGAAGUUGGGGGCACCCCACCUUGAACCUGGUUGGUCAGAAGUUCCAGAGGCCUGGACUUUCAACUGAUGUCUAAAGAGAGGGCAGCUUUGGGGACUGAUAUGAGACCAUCUCCAUGUAGGUAAGAUUUGAAUUGAAUUGGAGAACAUCCAGCUGGUGUUGCUCUUUGGUGUAUGGGAAAUCUUCCACACCUUUGGUCAAAAAUGUCUUCUUUGUUGAUGAUUGCUGUGAUUGUGUGAGAGCAGAGGAAACACAGUUUGAGAGUGUUUCCUUAAAUCACAUUCCCACAUGUAGUUUUCUAUGCUUCUCUGUAUAAUUGAAUCUAAAACUUCUUGAAUUCCAUGAAAACUCUAUCAGCCUCAAGUAUUUUGAGAACUGUAGGCUUAAUGGAAGGUGUUAGAGGGAUAGUGAAGUCUACGUUCCAUACUUGCACACAAAACAACUUCAAUUUUAGAUAUUAGGAUUUCUCUUCCCUACGAUCCUUUGGAGCCAUGCUCCUGCCAGGUGGCUCUCUCAGCAUGCCUCUUGGUGCCCAGCCUUGCAACUGCCUUCUCCAUUUCCCCUUCUCACUCAUCUCCCCUGCCCUUGGGAGAAAACUAUGCUCCUUCCCUUUUUUAUUUACCCUCCUCAGACAUUCUGUUCUGAAAUUCUUAGGCUUACAGCACUUACUUAAGUAAUUAUAAGUGAUUUCUCCAGCAAUUUAAGUUCUCUCCCUAAGAUGACAUCUGAUGCCAGGUGUUAAAAGGACAUGUUGUGUUGCUAUUAGUUACUAUUAAUUUUAUUAUGCAUUAGUUAUUCAGUUAACUACUUAACUUUCUAAUACCUUUCAUUCUUUAGAUUAUUUUGAAGCCCCUGAAGGUCAUUUGUCAUCUUUUCACUUUCCUAGUUUUGUAUCAGGUUGUUCUGCAGCAGGGUUACUGGGGACGUUGUAUAUUUUAUUAAUAAGUAAACCAACCUUUGCUGCGUCUUAAGUGAAUGGCUCCCCUUGUAUUCAAAAGCUACGGAUUCAACUCUUAAGAUAAAUAGAGGAUAAACUUGGCACAUACCUUUACAAAUGAUGCAAGUCCAGUUUAGAGCUGCAGACUUAACGGGGGCACUAGCCACUGAAAAAUUCCCAAGUGAUGAUUUCUCUUAGAAUCCCAUUUACUUCAAUUUUAGAUAUCAGUUAACCCUCCAGUCCUGUGUUCCUUUCUACCUGUUGAGCCCACUGUGCCUCAAGCCUAACACCAAGUUUCUCAUAGAGUGAGCACCCAGCAAAUACUCAUUAAGUGUAGAAUGGAAGAAAGUAUAUGUUGUCGCAAAUAGACUGAAUUAAUAAGCUCUUGAGGAACAGUAACAUAGACAUUCUUCUAUUUCUUCUCUCCUAUAUUAACUCCUAUGUGGUAUAAGUAACUGAUCAGCUGGUCUCUUGGAAAGCAAGGCUGUAAUGUGAGUUGAACAUUUGUAACAUAUUUGUUGUUAUGACAGGGAGGAACCAGUAGUGGGUUCAAUCACUCGAGGAAAACACUACACCCCUUAAUAUUGUUUGCAUCAUGAUAGUAUCUGGAGAGCAGCUGGCACUUACCCUUUGCAUUCCAACCACACAUUCUUGGGAAAAAAAUCUUCCUUUCCUCCCACUCGUAAAGGCCUUUUAGUAAGUCUCACCCAGCACCAAGAGUGGGUGGCACGCGUAUGCCAGCUAUGUCUACUGUCACUUCUUAUCCGCUCAGUGUUGUCAUGUUUGAUGGGAAGCCCUGGCUAUGAUGGACAUAGCUUCGAGGCUUGUGUUGACUGAAGUGACAAAUAGUCUAAUGUAAUUAGUGUUUGACUGAGCACUGGGGAUUCCUCAUUGAAGAAGAUUUUUUUUUCUUUUAAUGCAAACCUUAAGUUGAUCUUGGGGAAAGACACUGGAUCACAUUCAGGCUAGGUAGGUAAGUUGCUGCCAUGUGGGGUAAGAAGUCUGGUGUGAUAAUUCUAGAAACCCCACUUUUUGUUUUUUUUGAGAUGGAGUCUCACUCUGUUACCCGGGCUGGAGUAUACUGGUGUGCUCUUGGCUGACUGCAGUGUCUGCCUCCCAGGUUUGAGCAACUCUUCUGUCUCAGCCUCCAAGUAGCUGGGAUUACAGCUACGCACUAACAUGCCCAGUUAUUUAGUUAUUUAUUUUUGCAUUUUUAGUAAAAAUGGGGUUUCACCGUGUUGGCCAGUCUGGUCUCAAAUUCCUGACCUCAACAACUCUACCCUCCUCGGCCUCCUGAAGUGCUGGGAUUACAGGCGUGAGCCACGGUGUCUGACCUAGAAACCCCACUCUUAAAGGGUUUACAAUACAUAGUCACCUGGGCACUUCUGUAUACAUGGGUGUGGCUGGCCAGGGCUCCCAUUAUUUCAGAGUGGAUAUUAGUUGGUCUGCAAGGGACAGUUUCCCUCCUUUCCCCACUUUAUUCAUUUACUUAUUUAUUCAUCCAGUAACAUUUCUGCACUACUCCACACUCUCUGCACCAAGCACAAUGCUAAGCACUGGAGGUACAACACUGGGAGGUACAGUCAUGAUUCCUGUCCUUUUGUUGUGUUUCAUAAUCCUGUUCUGUCUUCCAGAGAUGAUAAGCGCAAUGAAGGAACCAAUGCUGAGAAUGUUAUGGUGUACAUAUAACAACCAUUUAACACAUGUGAAGCAUAUGCAGCACAGCCUACAGUAGACUUCCAGGGAUUACUGAGUUUUAAAAGACAAGGAAUCAAGCAGGAGAAUUACAGGAGGGUUGCAUUUGCCAAUUCUUCAACCACCUAUUGAUAUACCAAAGGACCACAUGCUUGUAAAUUAGUCCAGCAAGUAUCUUCAUCUGGAUAUUUUUGAAGGAAACAUAUUUUAAGAAAACACAUGCCUUCUGGUGCUCCAUGCUUGAUAUAAUUAGGUAAUAAGCAUUCAGCCCUGCCAAGCUUAAUGUAAAAACCUUAAUAAUAGUGAUUCUUCAUGGAUAACAUACCCCCAAUCCUAUACGUUAUCACCAUUUGUGAGCCCCAUUGCUAUUAUCUACUGGGCACCUUUUUCUCUUCUUCUUAACUGUAUGUUUGGGGAGAGAGUUGUUCCACAACAUUACAGGCUUGAAAGGCGCAGUCAGAACACUAAUAAAGCCAUCAACCCUCAGAUGCCACCUUUUUGAAGUCUGAGCAAGGUGAGCAGUGCAGCUAACACCUUGUGCCUCCUCCUACAUGUUUGCAAUUAACAUUUUAUCUGCCCUACGUCUUAAGUCACAGCUUUGUCACCAUUCCCUGGAGGCUGAAGAAGGACCUUAAUUACAGAAGCAGUGCACUCAGCCACUGCCUGCUGUAUUCUGAUGUCACCACCUAUGAGCUUCAAAGAGAGGUCAGGCUGAUCCUAGGAUGUCAUGUGGCUCAAAUCCAGUAUUUUAAUUUAGAGACUCAGUAAGUGGCUCCAUCAAUUAAGACCGGCUGUACUUGCAGCAGACCUGCCAGGCCACAGCCAGAGCUUUGAUUCAUUUCAUUUCUUACUGACCCCAUCACAGAGUGGAAGGAUGGCCAACAUUUCAAUGGGUGGUGGAGAGCUGCCAGAUUUAAAAGGAAGACUAAUGAUCGAGGAGGAUUCUAAAGGGGGUCCAGCGUCUUUCCAUCUUUUGACCCUGUCAGGUCUACACCAUUUACUCCAAGUGAAAAAGAGAUAAUGGAGGAAAACGCGACCUGCAGGAGGGUGACGUUGGGGUUGACUCACUCUUCCUUUCAAUCUCAGGUCAGGAUUAAUCUUGGAACCCAGGAUAAGGUUGUGCCUGCAGAAGCAUACAUGUGGGUGAGGGAGCUGAAGUCAGAGGGAGGUGGAAGGAGCGAGGCUGCUCCAAGCAUAAUAACAGGAGUAGAUUGUAGGAGUCAGGAGGGUCAAAACCUAUCUCUUUUCUUUCCUAACUCCACAAGACCCUGCUCUCUGCCAGUAGGACAAUGAGGCUAUAAUGAGCUCAUUCCCUGUUCCCCAAAUUUAAACCUUCUAUUUCAGCAGAUCAUCCAGUUGACAGUGCUCAACUUCAUGGAGGCAGGGAAUGUAAGUCCUGUGGGGAAAGUUAUUUUUGGCUUGGCAAAGCAAGCAUCCUGAAGGCUUUUGUGUAGCUCUCAGCUCUACAAAUAGUCCUUUGCAAUCAAUACCACACAAUCAGAUUCUUGUAAAGAGGUGCAGAGGCUAAUAACUCACCCCUAAUAUUAUUGGUCUUAGAUGAAACAUAAUUUAGAAUAAAGUAUUGUUUUAGCAGAGACACCAUAGCUGCUUAAAAUGUGUACUGGUAUCAUUUACAUUUGCUGCCUGGUUAUUAUCUUGGUUAUGUACUAAGAAAGUGGCUAGCCGUCACCCCAGCUUUCUUCCAUAGUAAAUCAUGAAUAAUUUUGUUAAGGUUUGUACUUUGAAUUCAAACAUAACUGGGCCAUUAUGGCCGGCUGCUGCCAUAAACAGACAUAUGAUUUGCAUGUCUACAUGAGCAAAUUGGAGCUGCAAGUGAGGGCGGCUUCACAUCAGUACGUUACUCUGCCUCCCUUCCAUUGCACAGAAUUAACAACUGCCAGGGAAAUUGCUUCAUAACUGAAUGUCUAAUCGAAGAGUUAGGACAGGAUAAUAUACAGUUGCCAAAGUGAAGUUUGAUAUGGAACUUAAAUCUUGUCUCUGGCUCCAGACAUCGUGGUUGGAAAUGCAAAUUGUUCCUUAAGACUCACUCGCAAAUGGAGGGAGCAGUUUCUGAGUUAAUGGACACAUGGGAAUUUUCCCCUCCCACUGACAACUGAAGGUUCAGAUUUGUUAUCAAGUUAUUGGGCCCAGGACUCCUCUCAUUUUCCACAACUUUCACCCCCAUCAGGGAAGCUGUGUUUGGAUUCCAUCAAGUUCUUAAACUUACGCUUCUAUUAACUUUGAAUGAUUCUAGUGGAGCGUGUCACUGGUUGUGACAGGAUUAUUUAUGAGUUAAAUGAUUCUGACUCAGUUAGAAAAGCACUCGAGCUUCUAGCCCUGGUGGAAACAAACAGAAUUGACAGCAUGGCUCCUCAGGGAAGCUCCUUGUUUAUCAUAACUUUCUUCACAGAAGCAUUUCCUCAGAGAUCUGACAGAAGACUCCAGGGAACUGGGCCUCAGGUGGCACUGGCUUGGCAGAGACCCCUUCUAUGGGCAUUGGUUAUGGGUGGGAUGAGGAGGAGUGUGUCUGUGUGGGGAGAGGGUUGUAUUUUUUACCAUUUGCUUCUUUUUCAGUAGCCAACUUUGACAUCCCAGUGGGUACAUACUUAAGGUAUCUACAAGGCAGGAGACCCCCUACAAAAUGUUCUUUGGAAAAUUUUGAUAUGUGAAUAAACAUAUCCAGGUAAUCAUUCGAGGAGAACCAGGAACUACCUUGGCUUCUCUGAUACAUCUCUGACUUAUUACUUAAAUUAGCGUUGCUUGGGUUGACAUGUGCACCACCACUUUGCAUUACUUGAGUCUCUGAGCAUCUUAUCAGGACCUAAUCAAUGGCCCAGCUUCAUGUAUGAAUCAGCUGGGUGAGGCCAGGGAAAAAGAAAGGCAGGAGCAACCCAUUUGUGGAGAGCACUGAAUCGGAGCCCAGAGGCUAACACUGCAGUGGUUCUCUGUAUAACACUCAGCCUAUUUUAGGUAAAACCAUAGCACUGUGAAAGGCAAAGUCCCCUGAACCAAGCGCCAGGGAUGCUGGGUCUAAUUUUUGUCUAUGUCAUCGGCUUGAUAUAAGACCUCAGGCUGUUCACUAUUGGCUUGUGUAAAUAUAGCUCCUUUCUCAUCUGCAACUUCAUCCAAUGUUCCUACCUUGUGGUAGGUAUCUAUGGAAAGGCAAACAAUAAAAGCACUUCAAAAAGUGAGAAAUGCUUGCUUUAAUCUUCUUAAGAGUACAAGUUGGGCCCUCUGAAGCCAAAUCCUACACUGCAGAAAAUAUAUUAGAGUAAGGCUUUCAUUCUUAGGCAAUUUAUUGGAAAAAUAUUUUUUAAAUUCCUGGUUAUAUAUAAAUGAUGUAAUAUCAGAAUUGUACUAUGUCAGAGCAAUUUCUUCUGAAAUGAUUUAGGAGAUAAGAACUAGGUAGACUGAAUUACACCUGUUGUGUUUGCUCACUUGAGAAACACACACACACAUGCAGAAACAUACACACCCACAUAUACACACACACACACACACAUAUACACAUUUUUUGAGAAGUUGUCUCAUAGACUAAUUGCAAUUAAUAGGACUCUGAUCUCUUUCCCAUUUAAACCACUGAUUAAUGUUGCAAGACAAAUGCAAACUGGGGCUGUAACAUAGUGACUAAGAGAAAUAAAUGAUUUCAAGUCAACAGCAUGACAAAUGGUCAGGGCAAGCAUCCACCCUCUGGUUAUUACAACCUUUUAUUAUGAUCUAUCAUUAAGCAACCUAGCAUUUCAUAUAAUGUAAAAGUUAUUAAUUUACUGGAAACAAGUGAGGGUGCUUAGGUCUUUCGCCUUCUCUGAAAAUAAAAUGGAAAUUGAUUAGGCAAACUUUUUGAUUAAUACCUGGAUAACUUGUACCUUCCUUCUUCUUGUUAUAUACUGAAAACCAAACACAUAAUUGGACCCAGCAAAAAAACAAAAACAAAUGAACAACAACAAAAAAAAAACUAGAGGAAAGUCCAGUCUAUCUUGUACAGAUCAGGAUACUGUGGCCCUCUUAGAGGAGGUUGCAAACAAGAAAUCUUGACCUGUAUAGCUGAACUAUGUGUCUGGCACAUAAUAGAUGCUCAGUAAAUGUUUGUUUGAUGAUGAAUCUUUGGGAUGAGGAGCUUUCAGAGCAGAAUACAAUCAAGUGGGAAAAUAAUGGACUUGGCCAGGGCUACACGGCUGCGACUGGGAGUAAAGACAUCUGAGUUUAAGGCCCAAGUGAUACCAUAAAUAUCUUAUAUGAAGCAUAUCACUUCCUUUAGCCUAUGUUUCUGCUAUUUUCAUUGUGAAUAAUACUUUCUGCUUUAGCUGAGUUAGUCCAGUGCUUUAGAGUAAAUGAGAAAAGAGACAUCAAUGCACUUUGGAAAAUGUCAACUAGUCUCCUCUAUAGCUACUAAGCUUGUCUCAUAGAUGAAUCAGCAAGAUCAGCCUGUCUCUAAAGUAAGACUUAGGAAACAGCCAGAGACAGCUAAGUGAGCUAUUCCACUGAUGGCCAAAGUUAAUGGCUGCUAUUUAUUUAUUUCUCUUCAAAUCUUCUGGUAUGGGAAUGAACUUAUCUAGAUCAGAGCUGUAGGAUGGAAAUCAGUCUAGGAUAUUUUGAUAAUUAGAGUGUAUUUAUUGUGAGCCUUUUAAGAUAAAAUGUUGGGCUAGAAUAGAAUUUCAAUUUUCUAGGAGUUCAGAAUCUAAGGUUUUCAGAAUAAUACUGCCUGGAGCACAGGACAAUAAUAAUGAACUUAUCAAAGAGAGAAAGGGCUAAGCCUUUGUGUUAAAAAGCUUUCAGUUUAGACCAGGCAAGUUGGCUCAUGCCUGUAAUCCCAUGACUUAGGGCAGCUCAGGGAGGUGGAUCACUCAAGCUCAGGAGUUUGAGACCAGCCCGGGCAACUUGGCAAAACCUCAUCUCUACAAAAAAAUACAAAAAUUAUCUGAGUAUGGUGUGCACAUCUUUGGUCCCAGCUGCUCAGGAGGCUAAGAUGGGAGGAUGACUUGAGCUCAGGAGGCAGAGGUUGGAGUGAGCAGAGAUUAUGCCAAUGCACUCCAGCUUGGUUGACAGAACAAGACCCUUUCUUAAAAAAAAAAAAAAAAUCUUAAUUUUUAACAGUAUGCUUACAGGUUUCUCUGUCUCCUUUACUCAUACUUUAGAAAUAAGAAAUUAGCUUUGUUAUAUGAAAAGUCAAAUUUGACAAAGACAGUUCAUAGUGGGAUGGAUAUUCAUGUUUUUCUAUUAGGCUAAUAUCCAUGAUGAACAAAAAUCUUUAGUGAAAUACUGGCAAACCAAUUGCAACAGCACAUCAAAAAGCUUAUCCAUCACCAUCAAAUAGUCUUCACCCAGGCAUGCAAGUUUGGUUCAACAUGUGUAAGUCUAUGAACAUAAUUCACCACAUAAACAGAAGCAAAGACAAAAAACACAUGAUUAUCGCAUUAUGGUAUUUUCUUUGUUUCAGUUGGUCAUGUUAUGACCAUAACAGAAUGCCCUAGUACAGAGUCCAGUCUCCUCUCCAAAGAUAAUGUCUUUAUUUGAAAAGGAAAAGAAUCUACUUGGCCGUUGUGCAUGUGUAUACUUUUUGCUAGGAAUGGUUGUGGUACAGAUGAGGACUUUCUUAAGAUCAGAUAUAAUUCUCAAAGUCUCAUUCAUUUCCACUGUCAUUUUAUCAGACUGGGACCUCUCACAGACAAUCACUAUAACUAAUUGCAAGAUGUCCAUUUUUUCCAGGAUGAGUUUUGAGUGAUUCAAAUAUCAGGACUUAAAAUUUAACCCUUGUUAUAUUAUAUAUAUUAAUUACCUUUUAUUAAUGAAAGCAAAUGUUUACUUCUCUCUCUCUCCCCGCUCUCCAUGUGUGGAGGAAGUGGACUCUACCUGAUAUUAUCUGGACUUUCCAAGGGUGCAUAUUUCCAAGAAGGAAGUAUGGGUUCCUAAGGCCAAUGUUUCUCAAAUUGAGGUCCAAGCACUUCCUGCCUUAAAUCAAAUAUGAGUCCAGUUAAAAAUACAGAUCCUUGGGGUCUAUUGAAAACUUAAUGAAUUAGAAUCACUAGGUUUGUAACUUCACAAUCCAAAUAUACAACAGACUCCCCAUAUAAUUCUUUUGCAUGCUAAUGUUUAAAAACCAGCACUAUAAGCUUUAAUGGAAUCCCAUGCAUGUAGGGUCCCACGUUACAGAAGAAAUUGGUGGUGGAGAAGCAGAGAGCAUGCCCCUAUAGACUAGAAGAGGAGGCUAGGGGAGGGUUUGUGCUUCUGGAUAGCUACACAGAGGACUUUUGUUCCCUCUAAAAAGAUCUCUUCUGCCAGUCUACUUGUCACUUUCUGGUCAUUCUCCCAUUUAGACAACCCUCAUUUUGAUUGGAUGGCCCAAUGGUGCAGGUGCUUCAGAUAUAGAUGUGAGGUGAGGGAACAGAUACAUGAAUACGAUAAUGCAUCUUCCCUCUGAUUUUAGCAGAGUAUCCCUUUUGCUGAGAUUUACCUUUCCUUCAAUCUCGCCAAGGCUUUACAAUUUGAACAAUCUCUUGUUUGAAGAAGCACAUCAACUGUUACUCUGCAACUUAUGUUAAUGGAUGUGGGUGGGCUGCAUCAUGUGCUAAAAUCCUACAUUAGUUUUGGCACAGUACUCUUGACUCUCUCAUUUAACACAAAUCCAUCAAAACCUCCUCUUUCCAUCACCACUUACCCCAUAGUGAGUUAAGGAAGAGUCCUUCUCCCUCUAAUAAUGUUUUGAAUCAUUUUUAUUCCCAACUCAGAAGGUGUGCCGCUUGAUUACUCUGGUUGCUAUAGCUACAGGUCAAAUAAUUUCCCUCCAGAUCUGUCUUUUGGUGUUAUAUGUUCCCUAUAUGUUUGAUCUGUAAGGGAGCUUUUCAGAUAUUCAUCUAGUAGUUACCCCAAGGGAAUAAAACAUUACGACAUCAAAAUGGGUCAUUCCUAAGCUUAGUUAAAAAACAAAACAAAACAAAAAAAAAAAACAAAAUACUAGCAUUCCUGAUGAUAUAUUUAGGAGAAAAAUACUUUAAAAAAUAAAUUUUCCUGAAUUCUUUUAUUAGUUCUCUAUGCUUUUCAUCUUUCUUUGCCUAAAUAUUUUCAAGAACUUUUUUUUGUAAUCUGUAUGCUCAACUUUUAUGUAAUAAAUCUUAAUAAACCUCUUAAAUAUUUUCCCAAACUUCUCAUCUACAUUGACAGUUACACUGGCUUUAUUUUAAUUUUUCCUUCCCACUAAAGUCUUUCUUUUCUUUUUUUUUAAAUAAGAGAAUGCAGAUUUUCCUUAUAGGACUCUGUGAUGUCCACCAUUAACAAAAUAUUAGUUGUUUUUAAAUUGUCGUGUUAUUAUUCUCUGCUUACUAGGGCAAUCAUGUGGCUUAAUUUAUUCAGAGGAUCACUCAGAAAUUCAGUUAGAAACGGUGAUUGGUCAGUGGUCUUCUUUUAUAUCUGAUUCAAUCUGGUACUAAUAUGUUGUUUCAAAAACAUACCAGUUCCAAAGAGAAUUCUUACCUUGCAGGAUUCCAACUCACUCAACAAACACAACUUUAGGGUGUCGUCUGAAUUGGCAUUACUAUGUCAAUCUUCCCACAGGGCACUGGCUAUUGUGUGAUUUAGCUACUCGCCUGUUUUGGAAGAUUUCCAGCUUUAUUUUUCUUGUUUCUUUUAAGUGACUUUUUUAAACAAAAUCACCCACAGAUUUGAAAAGAAAAGACAAAAUGAAUGGCAAAUGUAUGGGAAAUUUUGGCUUGACCUAGUAUGGAGGAGAAUUUGUUACUAUCCUGGCCAGUUUGGAGUUUUUUUAAGAAGGUAUUUCAGCAAAAGUACAAUUAAAAUAUUAGUGCAGUCAUUUGAAAACAACCAAAUUUUUUAAAGCUUACUUUGUAUCUUUAUGGAUUUACCUAUUCAUGCACAUGGGUAAAGUUAGGCUGACAGACUUGUCAAACUAUGAAAGGCAUGAGGUAUAAGGCUUUUAAUGCUUGAUGAAGCAGAAACUGCAUGAACAAAUCCACUCCUGGGAUUUGUAAAUGAAUGCAUUAAAUGCCUUGAAUAUUUAAUUCACUUGUUCCCAAUAAUAUUUGUUGACAUGGAAGAUAAUAAAGUGUAAUGACUCCUAACCUCUUAAUGAGAAUAAUUCUUAAGAGCUGUCAAUAAUAUGGAAAGUUUUAGAAAAAGGUUGGUUUUUCAGCAGCUAAUAAUAGUGAUGUCCUCCUCUUUAGAAGAAAAAAUAACCUAGCAUUUGUGUAUUCCUUUGAAGCUCUAGUUUUAGACUUUAGUGAACUAUCUUUUGCUCAUUGUCUCUACUCCAGAUUGCUUAGUGUCAGAAUAUUAACUGUGAAGACAAACACACAGAUGCGAUAAAGGAAUUAUAUCUGAGAAAGUAUGUAAAAAAUUCAAGACACUUAAACACACCAAAUGAUUAUCUCCAAAUUAAUGAAUCUAACAACACAAGAAGUUGUCUCUCCAAUCUGAUUUUCUGACAACUCCUUUAAGGAAUUCAACAAUGGUCAGAGACCAUAGCACUUGUCUAUAUAGAAAAACAAAACUGUGGUUGUAGAAGCCAAUAACUGGAUUUUCCUCAUCAGUAUAACUUCACAACAAAGAGAAUUUAUUUAUUAUUAUUUAGUUAAAACUGGGAGAGAGCUAGAAUCUUGGUCACAUUUAUUUGUUCAAUAAUAUUGAACAAAUAUUAUGAAGCCCCAGUGUAGUUGACGUUUUGAUGCUCUUGGUGUCAGAGCUUUUGGAGAAACUUGAUCUUGGUGGAGAAUAAAAUAUAAGAAUGAAGAAAUCAUUUGACUUGGGUUUCUCUGAGUUCCUGGCAUGUCCUAAAACUCUCUGAAUUGCCAGAAAAAGAGUAAAUGACUUUGAGUGUAUUUAAUUUUUGUUCUAUUUAUUUAAAAAUCGGAAAUCUGAACAGGUGAUAAAUCUCUAAUUAAUCAAAUCAUUGCUUAGCCUGGAGAACUGCUAUUGGACCUUGAUGGAUGACAGAGAAUCUGUCUUUGUGUUAUUGUUGUUUUGCCAAGGAUCUGCUUGCAGCAGGUACUUCUCUGUACUUUCCUGUUUAGUAACAUUUACAGUGUUUAUUCAGUUGUUUUUCUUGAAGGGCUUCUCUUUUUUCCUUUUUUUUCGAUGUGAGGAAUUGUUGAUCUUUUUUGUACACAGCAUUAAAUGAGGUCCCCAUGCGGCUAAAUGAUCGGAGAUUGAAAGGCUGGUCAUUCAGCUGAUUGGGAAAGAGCUGUGCAGCCAGGCUAGAUUCUAAAUUUUCCUUCAGAAAUUUGUCCUCUGAAGGAAUUGGAAUUAGUCCCAUGUAAUUUGCAAUGUCCUUAAAUCUGUGCUUUCGAUUCUGCAUUAUGUCAAGGUACACCAUCUCUUAAUAGUCCCUGAGAUGAGAGAGAUGAUUAUAUCUUAGAGAAACCCUUUAUAAAUUAUUUGGGUAAGUAAAGAGAAAUAGAGAAAACAACAACAUAUUUUGCUUGUAGCCUUUGAAAUCUAUAUCCAGAAAGUAGUCUUUAAAAUCUGUAUUAUUUUAUUGCAGUAUCAUAAAUUUCUCUGAGUUCUAUAUUACUCUGAAAGUACCAAUCUGUUAUAAUGUUAUGUAUUAUCACAAGGAUUCAGAUACACUCAGGUCAAAUUAUGGCUGCUAAAACUACCUCCACAGAAAGAUCUUGGGUAUUAACUUGGAAAUAAAUUUGUUCUUUUUCUUAUUUUCAGAAUUAUCCAAGGGAAACAAAGAGGGUCUCUAUUUUUAAAAUAGAACACUCCUUGUGUCUUAUCAUAUUUAUCUAAAUAGAUGGGUAUAGUGAUUUUAGAGCUUCACACCUUUCCAGAAAACAUGAGAAGUAAAUUCUGCCUGUUCUUGCUAGAACAUUUAUUUUUCAAGUCAUGUUCUAACCAGGCUGCCAUUAUGGACAUUAAAUAUACCAAAAACCCUUGGCUGAUCAGAAGCAUAUUAAUCUUACUUUGUUUAUUAAAGAUGUACGAAAUGCUGAACAUUUGCCAAUUCUUAAAACAUGCAAUCAGGAUUCAAGAAGACAGGGUUCCUUUCCUAGAAGAGCUUAUAGUGGAGAAUAAAAUCAGCCUACAGUGAGAACAAAGUAUUAUAAGUGGGGAUGAUAACACAAGAACUACAAAAAGAGUCAUCAUACCCACUUGGUGAGAGUUGAGAAGAGAAUGUCAAAAAAGGCUCGUUGAAUGAAAUGACAUCUAAGGUGGGUAGCAAAGGGCAAACAAGAUGCUUAACAAAAUAGUAGAGCAUAACAAAAGUUUACCAGGUAAAAGAAAGAGCUAUGGAAAUAACCAUAUAUGGGAGAAUGUAUGGAAAAAUAUAGUUGUUCAGCAAGAUUGGAGAGUGAGUUGCCUUGAGGCAAGCAGAUUGUUUCAUUAACUAAACAAUUUGACUUUAUUCUUGGAACAAUGGGAGGCUCCUGACAGGUGUUACGGUGGUUUGAUAAAACUUGUGUCCUAGAUCACUCUGUUUAGAAUGGAUGGACAGGAGCAGGAUUGGAGGCAACAAGACUAUUAAGAGGCAAGAGAUGAUGGUGGUCUAUAUUGCGACAGGAUUAGAUUGAAUGUGAGGGGGCAGCUAAGUAAGAUACCUAGGUGUGGGCUAGAAUAGAUGGAUCAAGUUGCAGGGCCAGACUCCUUUUGGAAAUAUGAUAGUAAUGAGUUUUGAGUUUGAAGUUUUUAUUUUCAUUUUCAAUAAAUUACACAAUUUUCCUUAAAGAAAAAGAAUUAGUAAAGAGGUUCUUGCCAAAUUAGAUAAUGCUUGCUUGAGAGAGAGAGAGAAGGAGAGAGAGCGCACAUGUGCAUGCAUAUGUGUGUAUCUUAGUUGCAGACAAUAAUCCCAAGACAUACAUGCUUUAGGCAGAAGACAGAGGAGCACAGACCCAAAGCUUAGAUGUUUAGAAAACUGUCUAGAAGGAGCUGCUGGAAGUCGAGGACCAGACUCUGGAGAUGAGAGGAAAAGUACACCGCUUAUGAGGAUGGGACUGAGCCCUCCAGUAGCUUCAUCCAUUCCUCAGCAACUUUGGCUGCACUUCCCAGGCAAAAAGUCUAAGGAAAGGCUGGUAAAUGUCUAUGGUUUUAGCCCAACCACUGAAAGGUCAGAGAUGUAAGUGUUGCCAUCAAUUGAUAAUAUGUAAUCUACCCCACAUUAAGUGCUUCAUGCACACUAAUAAUAGUAAUAGUGUCAUGAAGACUUCUCAGAUGGGAAGGCACCUAAGUAAGAUCUUGGAGAACAAGUGAAAAAGUUGCUAAGAUUGGGAAGAAGGUAUUACAGGCAGAGGAGCAUUUUAAAGAACCACAUUAUUAAUGAUAAAAGGAUUCUCCCUAUAUGCCAAGAAAUUGUUUAAGUACAGGUUUAAAACAUCACGAACAAAAUAGACCUUCAGAAACAAACAAAGCUAUUGGGCAAAAUCAAAGUUACUAAUACAUUUAUAAAAGAUCAUAGACAUAAUCUAACCCAGUGGUUCCCAGGAAUAGUCUAGUGCAGUGAAAAGAGGCAGGCUUCUGGAGGUGGACUGGCUCCACAGGGACUCCAGCUCCCCACUUACUGGAUGCAAACCCUCGGGCAAGUUUCUUAACAUCUCUGGGUUUAGAAUCCUUAGCUAUAAAAGCAAGAUAACAGCAGUACUGAGCUCACUUGGCAACUGCUCUCUACACAUGAGCCACUAUUGUUACGUUUUUAUUAUUCCUAAAUACUCAUCGAGGGAUCAAUUGGUUUGGGAUCACUAGGAGAGGCUUUGUAAAAUUGUUUUUGAUUCUCCAACUACAGGAUUUUUGGUUCAAUAGAUCAGAGGUAAAAUACAGAAACAUGAACUUUUAAAACACAUGGGCGAGUCUGGGAUCUAGGGCACAUUGUAAAUGAAGAAACUUGACCCAGAAGCUAUUAAGUUACUUAUCUGAGGUGACAUAGGAAAUAGAGACAGAGGCAGGUUCAAGAACCAGCUGCACUCACUGUUCUUGAUUUCUCACUUCCUUCCCCAUCCUCAUCUUUCUAAGCUUUGGGGAGAUACUUUCAGUUAAACAAAAUUAUUAUAUAUGGAACAUAGCAACUGUAUUGAAGGAGCCAUAGUAAAAAAGAAAUCAAUUUAUACCCAUCAGAAAAAUAUGAAGCUAGAGGGAAUUUAAUCCCAGGUGGUAGAAACACAGUUAUAUGUAAAACGUGGAAAAAUUGUAUCAGAAGAUGCUCCGUAAGUGUACAAUAAGCCCAGGCUCACUGGAUAAAUGUUUGUCAUAACACUAAGUGAAGUAUGGUAAGAACAUAUUGCUCUCUGAUGAAUACCCAAUAUGAAGGUGUUUUUCAAUUAGAAAUUCCUAACUAGAAAUUGUCAGGCUACCCAUCCUUGUUAUAAUAUUUAUUUCAAAAACCAUUUAUAAAAUAGAGUAUGAGUUGGUUUAGAUUUUUAUUUUAUACAUAAAUUAUGUUUAUAAAUACAUAUACAUGUAUACCUAUCUCCAUCUAUUAAUCUGUCUGUAUGUAUGUCUAUGUCUAUCUCUGUCUAGCUAGCUAGCUAUUACAGCAAAAGUUAAAGCAAAAUAUUAAGAAUUUCCUCCCCGCCUUCUUUCCUGAGGGGUUGUUUUUUGCUUUCCAGGGGGAUUGGAUUUCGAGUAAUGCUUUUAACAAAGUUUCUGUUGAUAUUUUUCUGAAUAAAAUGGUAAGUACAUAUUACAUACUACUUUUGUCAAGUAUAUAUGAAACUAUAUGAACAGCUCUUCCUAAGAAAUAUUUCUGGUUUAGAAUGGGCCUCUAGUUUCUGGCACAUGGUAGAAACUUACAGAAUGGUACUUGGGUGAGUGGGUAAAUGAAUGAGUAAUCCAGUGAGUCAACUGAAAUUAUUGGAGGGAAGGUUAGUACUAAGAACUAGGAUUGAAAGAAGGUAGCUCUGAGAACCUGGGUUGAAGGCAUAUAUGAAACGCCUUCUCCAGGUUCUUCACCUCCAUAGAAUAUAUAUCUGUGCUCAAAGAUCAUAUUCCCAGGAAAGAGCCUCUGAUGCUCACCCCAAGUUGACCACUUUGAAUAAUAGUCCCAUCAAGUUUAUAUCCAAUGGGGCUAAGUAGGUUUCCCAAAACCCUUGCUUCUCAGAAGAAAGGAGACAGUGGCUGGGAAGGCAUCUGAAAUCAAAAUGCUUGGAUUCAAAUACCAGCUAUGCCAUUCAUGAGCUGUAUGACCUUGGGUGCUGAAUCUCUCUGUUCCUCAAUUUUCUCAUUUGCAAAAUAAGGGAAAGAAUGCCUAACUUGAAGUGUGGUUUUGAAGAGUAAAAGCUUUAACAUAAGCAAAGUGCUUAUAGCAGAUACUAGCACAUAGCACAGGCUGAGCAUCCUAAAUCUGAAAUGCUCCAAAAUCGGAAACUUUUUGAGCACCGAUAUGUCACUCAAGAGUCAUGAUCAAAUGAUUUUGGAUUCCCAGAUUAGGGAUGCUUAACUGUAAGUAUAUUGCAAAUAUUUUAAACUCUGGAAAAAUCUGAAACCCAAAGCACUUCUGGUCCCACCUACUUCAGAGAAGGCCCACUCAGCGUAUAGUGACAGCAACACAGACAUAGUGUUCAUUCGUCAGCAAGUACUGAGUUACCAUUAAACCAUCAUAACCUUUUAAAAGUUAAAACAGUGAAUUGUGCAUUUAUUCUUAGGAAAACCCUUAUACUUUUGGAUAGAUUCCCAGCUCUGACCCUAGCAACAUGAGUUGUCCCUAGGAUCCUCUUAGUUUCUUCUAGUACCCCUCUAAGCUCCAGGCACAGGGCGGCUUUCCUCUUCCUCCAACAUGGCAGUUGUUCAGCUUCUAGGUCUUGGUCCAUGCUGUUCCCUCCAGCACCCUCACCCUCACCUCUAGGAACUGGUUCCUUCUCACCCUCAGGAGUCACCUCUUCCAUGAGACCAUCUCUGAUCUAAGCAAGCUCAAUCCCAGCUUCUCUAUUUCAGGAGCACUUAUUAGAAGGAAGAAUUAUCUAAUUGAGUUUAAUUUAUCUCUGCCAUCAAAUACCCAGCUCUUUAAGUGCACUGAAUCCUUUACCCAAGUACUGAGUAGCUGUCAAUAAAAAUGUUGAAUGAAUAUUUCAGCAGGCAUUAGGUGGCAGAUUCCAAGGCCUGUCCCUAGGCUCCCAUGUUACUCUCAAGUAGCUGCCCAGCCCUCUCUCAUCCCAUCUCCCUGUGCAGGCCCUGACCUUACCUUCUCCAGCUAGUGUCCCACAUGGCAGCACAAGCCUGGCGCCCUGGCUGUGGUUCUCAAUUCCUUGCAGUCUCCUGGUUCUUUGGGGUCCUGUUACUCUCCUAGUCCAAACCCUCUAAAGGCAUCCUGGACCACUUACUAUAAUAUUACAAGCACCCACGUAAUCAUAUAUCUUUCUGUUUCUUUCUUGUUCACUGUGCUCCAGCCAAAACGAUCUUUUGUUUCUCAAACCUGCCAAACCUGCCACUUCUCAGGGCCUUUGAACUCCUUGCUCCAUUUGGCCUGGAAGGCAUGUCCCUCACAUCAUGCCCCACAGGCUCUUCCUCUUACGUUAUCUUUCAGCUCAAUGAAACCUUGCUGACCCAGAUGGUGCCCAGAGAUAUUUAUGUCAAUCUAUGCUGUUAACCUUUUUAUCCCUUUAUAAUUCUUACCACCACAGUUGACCAUGGAACAAUGUGGGGGUUAGGGGUACUAACCUCUUGAACAAUAAAAAAUCUGAGUAUAACUUUUGAUUCUCUAAACUUGACUACUAAUAACCUACUGUUGACUGGAAGCUUUACUAAUAACAUAAAUAGUAGAUUAAUACAUAUUUUAUAUGCUAUAUGUAUUAUAUACUGUAUUUUUACAAUAAUCUAUAGAAGAGAAUGUU
Long non-coding RNA from Callithrix jacchus (white-tufted-ear marmoset), 18008 nucleotides. RefSeq lists it as uncharacterized. The record is from RefSeq and is a predicted model, not a curated record. NCBI's taxonomy places the organism in Eukaryota, Metazoa, Chordata, Mammalia, Primates, Cebidae.